Molecule: unclassified non-coding RNA, 143 nt
Filed under: uncultured Neocatenulostroma
Lineage: Eukaryota; Fungi; Ascomycota; Dothideomycetes; Mycosphaerellales; Teratosphaeriaceae
Description: sequence contains ITS2
Source: RNAcentral
CACCACUCAAGCCUGGCUUGGUAUUGGGCGCCGCGGUCCGCCGCGCGCCUUAAUGUGUCCGGCUGAGCCGCCCGUCUCUAAGCGUUGUGGUAACCUAUCCGCUUGCGAGAUUGGGGGGCGUCUGGCCGUUAAACUCAUUCAAA